Pteronotus mesoamericanus is the source of this 131-nucleotide small nucleolar RNA. RefSeq annotates it as small nucleolar RNA SNORA68. The transcript has a single exon. The record is from RefSeq and is a predicted model, not a curated record. Lineage: Eukaryota; Metazoa; Chordata; Mammalia; Chiroptera; Mormoopidae.
CAAGCACCUAAACCCGAGAGCUGCUGUUUGUCAUAGCCGCAGUUUAAACAGAGGUCCUGACAGCAAGUGGAUCUGGUCACUUCUGGGGCCGUAGCUGUGCCGCUCAAAGUGAAUUGGGAGGUUCUACACUC